GAAUGAGCUCGUGCUGAACAAACUAGAGAUUAGUGUGGGUGUCUCCAUGCUGAACGUUAUCCAGCGUGAGCCCGACAACGACAACUCAAUCAUUGUCUUCCGAGCUCUCUACGACUGUCAAAAUGAAAUCUCACUGUCCAACAAAGGAAAGAUUACUGGCUGUCAGAACAUCACACACAGCACUUCGAAAUCAACCCCUGCUUGUGCCUGCUAUAUGUGCUCAAUUAAAAGUUGCAAUUGUCGACCCUGCCAGAACGUCGGUAAACACGAGUCUAGCGAGAAAGCAAAUCACACCACUUCUCAACACACCCCAAACCAAACCACUCCCUCCCUUUCAGCCUACCCGACAGAGAAUCAACCCCCAGAAACCUCACUGAAUUUGGAAACAAUCCAAACCACACCCUCCCUUAUGUCCAUACAGUCAAUUAGUCAAACACCUCUCCCAGACCUUCCCGAAAGCAACUUUGAACUAGAAUCAAUUAAAACAACACCCCUUGAGAUUUCCCCAGAGAAAAUUUCACCCACCAAAUCAAUCACUCACACCAAAAGUGGUGAUUGUUUGUCAUGUGAAAUAAGCUCUUCGAGCAUACAGAUUGUAAACUUUCCCCUCCCCACACACCCCUUAGAACCUUUAA
Long non-coding RNA from Cloeon dipterum, 635 nucleotides. RefSeq lists it as uncharacterized. The transcript is spliced from 3 exons. The record is from RefSeq and is a predicted model, not a curated record. NCBI's taxonomy places the organism in Eukaryota, Metazoa, Arthropoda, Insecta, Ephemeroptera, Baetidae.